RNAcentral lists this ribosomal RNA (491 nucleotides) under uncultured bacterium. RNAcentral describes it as "partial 16S ribosomal RNA". It matches the Rfam family "Bacterial small subunit ribosomal RNA", at positions 29 to 506 of the family's 1533-position model. The record is from RNAcentral.
AGUGAACGCUGGCGGUAGGCCUAACACAUGCAAGUCGAACGGCAGCACAGUAAGAGCUUGCUCUUACGGGUGGCGAGUGGCGGACGGGUGAGGAAUACAUCGGAAUCUACUUUUUCGUGGGGGAUAACGUAGGGAAACUUACGCUAAUACCGCAUACGACCUACGGGUGAAAGCAGGGGAUCUUCGGACCUUGCGCGAUUGAAUGAGCCGAUGUCGGAUUAGCUAGUUGGCGGGGUAAAGGCCCACCAAGGCGACGAUCCGUAGCUGGUCUGAGAGGAUGAUCAGCCACACUGGAAAUGAGACACGGUCCAGACUCCGAAGGGAGGCAGCAGUGGGGAAUAUUGGACAAUGGGCGCAAGCCUGAUCCAGCCAUACCGCGUGGGUGAAGAAGGCCUGCGGGUUGUAAAGCCCUUUUGUUGGGAAAGAAAAGCAGCAGGUUAAUACCCCGCUGUUCUGACGGUACCCAAAGAAUAAGCACCGGCGAACUUCGU